UACAGAGGGUGCGAGCGUUAAUCGGAAUUACUGGGCGUAAAGCGCGCGUAGGCGGCUUUGCAAGUCGGGUGUGAAAUCCCCAGGCUUAACCUGGGAACUGCAUUCGAGACUGCAUUGCUAGAGUAUGGGAGAGGGAAGUGGAAUUUCCGGUGUAGCGGUGAAAUGCGUAGAUAUCGGAAGGAACAUCAGUGGCGAAAGCGACUUCCUGGACCAAAACUGACGCUCAUGUGCGAAAGCGUGGGGAGCAAACAGG
Molecule: ribosomal RNA, 253 nt
Filed under: uncultured bacterium
Lineage: Bacteria
Description: partial 16S ribosomal RNA
Rfam family: Bacterial small subunit ribosomal RNA
Source: RNAcentral